RNAcentral lists this ribosomal RNA (425 nucleotides) under uncultured prokaryote. Its description in RNAcentral is "bacterial SSU rRNA". It matches the Rfam family "Bacterial small subunit ribosomal RNA", at positions 355 to 796 of the family's 1533-position model. The record is from RNAcentral.
UGGGGAAUAUUGGACAAUGGGCGCAAGCCUGAUCCAGCCAUGCCGCGUGAGUGAAGAAGGCCCUAGGGUUGUAAAGCUCUUUCAGUCGUGAAGAUGGUGACGGUAGCGACAGAAGAAGCCCCGGCUAACUCCGUGCCAGCAGCCGCGGUAAUACGGAGGGGGCUAGCGUUGUUCGGAUUUACUGGGCGUAAAGCGCGCGUAGGCGGGCUGGUCAGUCAGGGGUGAAAGGCCCGGGCUCAACCCGGGAACGGCCUUUGAUACUGCCGGCCUUUGAGUCCGGGAGAGGUGAGCGGAAUUCCAAGUGUAGAGGUGAAAUUCGUAGAUAUUUGGAAGAACACCGGUGGCGAAGGCGGCUCACUGGACCGGGACUGACGCUGAUGCGCGAAAGCGUGGGGAGCGAACAGGAUUAGAUACCCCCGUAGUCC